Molecule: unclassified non-coding RNA, 1570 nt
Filed under: Hevea brasiliensis (rubber tree)
Lineage: Eukaryota; Viridiplantae; Streptophyta; Magnoliopsida; Malpighiales; Euphorbiaceae
Source: RNAcentral
UAUUAUUUAUAAGAGAAACCAUCACACAUAUGCCAAGUUGAAUAGAAAAAGUUACAAGAAAGAAAGAUUACACAAAUCUUUACACUUUUUCCAAACAGUUGCAACCACAAUCCCACCUUCUCCACCAGAGACAAACAUGUCUCCAAAGUUUUUAUCCUCAACCAUGUUAAGGAUACUUCUCCUAUUUUUAGAAAAAAUAGAUGACUUUGCCAGUAGUAGCCGUAUCUCUCUGCCUUCACUAUCAGGUAUGCCCAUACCCCAGACUUGCACAUUUAAAUGAUGAUAAAUUAUGUUCUUGAAUCUAUAGCUGUCGGAAUGUGAGCAUCGCGUAUCUACUCUGAGAUCAGGUGAGAGGGACUUUGGGACCUCUCCUUUAAUUUAUUUAAACAAAGUGACACCCAGGUGGGGUAUUGAUGGGUCCAUAAGGCACGUGAAAUUCAAAUGCUUAUGUGCUUUAUGGGGUGAAAGGUUAUUGUUGGCUAUGUUGGGACCCUUUUGGGGCCAUUGUGAACGGGCAAGAAGGAAAGGAGAGAAGUGAAGAUGACAGCUUGGAGGAAGCAAUGAAAGGCUUCUCUUCCUCCUAUAUCUGCUGCUUAUUGUUUUGAAGCCUUAGUUCCCAUCAAUUGGAAAAAAUCUGUAUGAUUCUCAUGUUUAUAUGCUCCUAAGUGCAAUUAUUGUCCUUUAACCUUUUGUAACAAGUUGCCAUAAGUGGGAGACUUGCAGCUCCAUAGGGAAGCAUCUUCACUGCCCUUAGUAUAGUGAAUGCAUGUUUAAGUGGUUAUGCAUUGAAAAGGUGAAAAGCAUUGUUGAGAAGGGGAAAACAGUAUUCAAGUGUUCUCUUCUUUUUUUAUUUUAGAAAAAAAAAAACUGAAAAAAGGGCUAGUAUUAUGUGUUAAUUACUGUUUCUCCAGUCCAGGGCCAUUGGUCAAGCAUUUAUCUUCCUGAUUUCAGUCACCUCCGUAAGGCGUAUUGAUCAUUGGAUAUUGUUGGGAGACGUCGAUCCGUUCCUGCAAGAUUACAGCGGUUAUCAGUCUUUAGACUCAGUUUGCAGAGUCCGGUCAAAGCAGCAAAAUUAAUGUUUAAACAUCACAAGUUGUGAGUCUGUGGUAGUUGUUGGAUUUUUUAUGGCAUCAACUAAAUUGUACUUGUUCAUGAUACUUGUGUUUAUAAAGCUUGUGACCCUGAAAUAGUCCUAAAGGACAAAUGAAGGAGUAACUUCUAUGGUUGGUCUAUAUCUUUUUAAUGAUCUUGGAUGCUAUAUUUUAUACAGGUUAGAUUCUCUGGCCUUGCGCAAGAUUACAUAUCCAUGGAGAGAGCUAGCUAAUCCAAACCCACAAGAAUGUGCAAGAGAACAAGUCCCCUUCAGGAUGCCCAUUUUGACUGGUGCAAGUUGUUUAGGGAACCCAAAUUCUUCCAUGAGGAAAACAAAAAAAUUGUAAUUGAAAAUGACAUGAGAACAAUGAUACGAGGAGGAAAACAACAAAGACUACAUUGACAAAAUCAUCCACUAACUAGCUAGCUUGUUGCUUUGAACUUCCAUGGAGUGGAUUUUUACAAAAAAAAAUAAGAA